AUUGAACGCUGGCGGCAUGCUUUACACAUGCAAGUCGAACGGUAACAGGGUGCUUGCACCGCUGACGAGUGGCGAACGGGUGAGUAAUGCGUCGGAACGUGCCGAGUAGUGGGGGAUAACGCAGCGAAAGUUGUGCUAAUACCGCAUACGUACUGAGGUAGAAAGUGGGGGACCUUCGGGCCUCACGCUAUUCGAGCGGCCGACGUCUGAUUAGCUAGUAGGUGAGGUAAAGGCUCACCUAGGCGACGAUCAGUAGCGGGUCUGAGAGGAUGAUCCGCCACACUGGGACUAGGCCACGGCCCAGACUCCUACGGGAGGCAGCAGUGGGGAAUUUUGGACGAUGGGCGAAAGCCUGAUCCAGCCAUGCCGCGUGUCUGAAGAAGGCCUUCGGGUUGUAAAGGACUUUUGUCAGGGAGGAAAUCCCUAGUGCUAAUAACACUGGGGGAUGACAGUACCUGAAGAAUAAGCACCGGCUAACUACGUGCCAGCCGCCGCAGUAA
This 500-nucleotide ribosomal RNA is filed under the name uncultured bacterium. RNAcentral describes it as "partial 16S ribosomal RNA". It matches the Rfam family "Bacterial small subunit ribosomal RNA", at positions 30 to 523 of the family's 1533-position model. The record is from RNAcentral.